AACGAACGCUGGCGGCAUGCCUAACACAUGCAAGUCGAACGAGACCUUCGGGUCUAGUGGCGCACGGGUGCGUAACGCGUGGGAACCUGCCCUUAGGUUCGGAAUAACUCCCCGAAAGGGGUGCUAAUACCGGAUAAUGUCUUCGGACCAAAGAUUUAUCGCCUUUGGAUGGGCCCGCGUUGGAUUAGCUAGUUGGUAGGGUAAAAGCCUACCAAGGCGACGAUCCAUAGCUGGUCUGAGAGGAUGAUCAGCCACACUGGGACUGAGACACGGCCCAGACUCCUCCGGAAGGCGGCAGUGGGGAAUAUUGGACAAUGGGCGAAGGCCUGAUCCAGCAAUGCCGCGUGAGUGAUGAAGGCCUUAGGGUUGUAAAGCUCUUUUACCCGGGAUGAUAAUGACGGUACCGGGAGAAUAAGCUCCGGCUACCUCCGU
RNAcentral lists this ribosomal RNA (432 nucleotides) under uncultured bacterium. Its description in RNAcentral is "partial 16S ribosomal RNA". It matches the Rfam family "Bacterial small subunit ribosomal RNA", at positions 29 to 506 of the family's 1533-position model. The record is from RNAcentral.